AGAGCGAACGCUGGCGGCAGGCCUAACACAUGCAAGUCGAGCGCCCGUAGCAAUACGGGAGCGGCAGACGGGAUAGUAACACGUGGGAACGCGCCCUUCGGUUCGGAAUAACUCAGGGAAACUUGAGCUAAUACCGAAUACGCCCUUACGGGGAAAGAUUUAUUGCCGAAGGAACGGCCCGCGUCCGAUUAGCUAGUUGGUGAGGUAAUGGCUCACCAAGGCUACGAUCGGUAGCUGGUCUGAGAGGAUGACCAGCAUCACUGGGACUGAGACACGGCCCAGACUCCUACGGGAGGCAGCAGUGGGGAAUAUGGACAAUGGGCGCAAGCCUGAUCCAGCCAUGCCGCGUGGGUGAAGAAGGCCUUCGGGUUGUAAAGCCCUUUUGUUGGGAGAAUCGUACGGUUGAAUAUUCCGUGCGGAUGACGGUACCCAAAGAAUAAGCACCGGCUAACUUCGUGCCAGCAGCCGC
Molecule: ribosomal RNA, 469 nt
Filed under: uncultured bacterium
Lineage: Bacteria
Description: SSU rRNA
Rfam family: Bacterial small subunit ribosomal RNA
Source: RNAcentral